UACGGAGGAUCCAAGCGUUAUCCGGAAUCAUUGGGUUUAAAGGGUCCGUAGGCGGGACAAUAAGUCAGCGGUGAAAGUCUGUGGCUCAACCAUAGAAUUGCCAUUGAUACUGUUGUUCUUGAGUGUUUAUGAAGUGGUUGGAAUAUGUAGUGUAGCGGUGAAAUGCAUAGAUAUUACAUAGAACACCGAUUGCGAAGGCAGAUCACUAAUAAAAUACUGACGCUGAUGGACGAAAGCGUAGGUAGCGAAC
RNAcentral lists this ribosomal RNA (250 nucleotides) under uncultured bacterium. RNAcentral describes it as "partial 16S ribosomal RNA". It matches the Rfam family "Bacterial small subunit ribosomal RNA", at positions 524 to 773 of the family's 1533-position model. The record is from RNAcentral.